Molecule: long non-coding RNA, 1312 nt
Organism: Nomia melanderi (Alkali bee)
Lineage: Eukaryota; Metazoa; Arthropoda; Insecta; Hymenoptera; Halictidae
Source: RefSeq, a predicted model, not a curated record
GCUACAUUGAUCGUGUGUUGGUCGUACGGUAUCGCACGAAUUUGUUCGUACACGCGGAAUCAUUUAACACUUUAACCGCCAGCCAAAUUUGAAUGACAUAACCUUUCGUAUCAAUUUAAAAAUUAAUAUUCUCUGUAACAUAACGAAUAAAUCGAAUUUUCUUGGGUCUUUGAGGUACAAGAAGAUUAAGAGAGCAAUUGGCCUGAAAAAUCUUGAUUUUGCAAUUUCCGUUUCUUUAGGAAAAUUGCUUUGAUUGUAUGAUUAAUCUGUUGGACGUCAAUUCAGAGAAUCAACGUGUUAAGAAUUUGUUUCUUUGCACACUUAUCAAUCGAAACACUGAUGCAUCGAUGAAUGACGAUUGCUAAGAUGUCGUAUAGUAAUCGAACGAGGGUGGAAAUUGAUGUGUCCUAGUGUGAGAGUCUCAUAGUCAACGUGAAUAUACGAAGAUAUCGUAAAUUACGUAUUUGGAUAGUAGUGUCCAUUUGAGUUCCUCUGUUUGCUGUUUAAGUUAAACGACCGUUUCAAACUCCUUGUCGUAGCUGCAUGUGUAUACGAUAUUAUAUGGAAAGCUUAAUUUAAUAUAAAUGCAUAGGUGCUUACUUAGUCACAAUAUAGACCAUCUAUUGGAAUGUUUUUUAAAGAAUUAUUUAUACUAUGUUCAAAAUCAGCAAGAUUUGAAUUCUGAAAAAAGGAAAGAAAUCAGGGGGAACUGAAAUCGCCGUGUAUACGGAUAAAAAUAAGGGACGAUGUCCCAGGAGUACCACAAUCCCAGGAUUUGUUUGCUACCACCUACCCCCAGUAAACGUGCUUUCAUCUAACGGAGUCAAUUCCGAUGGGGAAACGCGAAGGAUUCACGUUUUGUGUCCUGACGAAUAUGGUCAGGACUCGAAUUAAUAUUUACGAACGUCGAAGGACACCCUCCGGUCUGUAUCCGUGCCUCAGUUCCCAUUUUUCAAACACGACCUGCCUCGGUGAGUUAUGCUUUUAACCCUUCCCUGAAUCAACUUUAUGUCAGACCGAGAGAAUGUAUUCGGUAAAAAGUAACAUGAAAAUGACUGUAAAUCUUGUACAAUAAUUAGCAACAUAAAAAGCCGUUUUUUAAUUUAAUUUUAUUAACUAUUUUAAAUGAUUUGAUUCUAAUUUGCGCAGGAUGUGGAAUUUACUUAUAGUGGAACGACAUUUAUCUGAACAUCAAUUAGUCUUUUCAAUCUGAUUAUUAGAAAAAUCAUUUAUUCAAACGAAUUUUGCCUCCUAAUUAAUUCGGAUAACCGUUGUUGUACUGUAAUUUUAAGAGAAAAUAAUAGAAAUUAAU